UGAGGAAUAUUGGUCAAUGGGCUUACGCCUGAACCAGCCAAAUCGCGUGAGGGAAGACUGCCCUAUGGGUUGUAAACCUCUUUUGUCAGGGAGCAAUUGGCGCUACGUGUAGCGUUAUCGAGAGUACCUGAAGAAAAAGCAUCGGCUAACUCCGUGCC
Molecule: ribosomal RNA, 158 nt
Filed under: uncultured bacterium
Lineage: Bacteria
Description: partial 16S ribosomal RNA
Rfam family: Bacterial small subunit ribosomal RNA
Source: RNAcentral